This 76-nucleotide transfer RNA is filed under the name Pseudomonas taiwanensis. Its description in RNAcentral is "tRNA-Asp". It matches the Rfam family "tRNA". Rfam says of the family: Transfer RNA (tRNA) molecules are approximately 80 nucleotides in length. Their secondary structure includes four short double-helical elements and three loops (D, anti-codon, and T loops). RNAcentral also lists the same sequence under 1 other name. Lineage: Bacteria; Pseudomonadati; Pseudomonadota; Gammaproteobacteria; Pseudomonadales; Pseudomonadaceae. The record is from RNAcentral.
GGUUCGUUAGUUCAGAGGCCUAGAAUGGCGCCCUGUCACGGCGCAGACACGGGUUCGAAACCCGUACGAACCGCCA